AUUGAACGCUGGCGGCAGGCCUAACACAUGCAAGUCGAACGGUAACAGGAAGAAGCUUGCUUCUUUGCUGACGAGUGGCGGACGGGUGAGUAAUGUCUGGGAAACUGCCUGAUGGAGGGGGAUAACUACUGGAAACGGUAGCUAAUACCGCAUAACGUCGCAAGACCAAAAAGGGGGACCUUCGGGCCUCUUGCCAUCGGAUGUGCCCAGAUGGGAUUAGCCAGUAGGUGGGGUAACGGCUCACCUAGGCGACGAUCCCUAGCUGGUCUGAGAGGAUGACCAGCCACACUGGAACUGAGACACGGUCCAGACUCCUACGGGAGGCAGCAGUGGGGAAUAUUGCACAAUGGGCGCAAGCCUGAUGCAGCCAUGCCGCGUGUAUGAAGAAGGCCUUCGGGUUGUAAAGUACUUUCAGCGGGGAGGAAGGGAGUAAAGUUAAUACCUUUGCUCAUUGACGUUACCCGCAGAAGAAGCACCGGCUAACUCCGUG
This 490-nucleotide ribosomal RNA is filed under the name uncultured bacterium. Its description in RNAcentral is "partial 16S ribosomal RNA". It matches the Rfam family "Bacterial small subunit ribosomal RNA", at positions 30 to 507 of the family's 1533-position model. The record is from RNAcentral.